This 71-nucleotide transfer RNA is filed under the name Marmota monax (woodchuck). RNAcentral's name for it is "tRNA.Ala". Lineage: Eukaryota; Metazoa; Chordata; Mammalia; Rodentia; Sciuridae. The record is from RNAcentral.
GAGGUUGUAGUUCAGCGGUAGAGCACUCGCCUCGCACAUGGGAAACCCUGGGUUUGAUCCUCAGCACCACA